Molecule: ribosomal RNA, 490 nt
Filed under: uncultured bacterium
Lineage: Bacteria
Description: partial 16S ribosomal RNA
Rfam family: Bacterial small subunit ribosomal RNA
Source: RNAcentral
AUUGAACGCUGGCGGCAGGCCUAACACAUGCAAGUCGAACGGACACAGGAAACAGUUUGCCGUCUCACUUACGCGUCGCGGAGGGGUGUGUAACGUCUGGGACACACCUUGAAGGCGGGGGUAAAUUACUGGAAACGGUAGCAAAUCCCGCAAAACGUUUCAACACCAUAGAUCAGUACUUUCGGACCUCUUUCCUUCCGCUGUGCCCUGAUGGGAUUAGCUAGUAGGUGGGGUAACGGCUCACCUAGGCGACGAUCCCUAGCUGGUCUGAGAGGAUGACCAGCCACACUGGAACUGAGACACGGUCCAGACUCCUACGGGAGGCAGCAGUGGGGAAUAUUGCACAAUGGGCGCAAGCCUGAUGCAGCCAUGCCGCGUGUAUGAAGAAGGCCUUCGGGUUGUAAAGUACUUUCAGCGGGGAUGAAGGGAGUAAAGUUAAUACCUUUGCUCAUUGACGUUACCCGCAGAAGAAGCACCGGCUAACUCCGUG